AUUGAACGCUGGCGGCAUGCCUAACACAUGCAAGUCGAACGGAAACGGCAUUAACAAUCCCUUCGGGGUGCGUUUUUGGACGUCGAGUGGCGGACGGGUGAGUAAUACAUAGGAAUCUACCCAGUAGCGGGGGACAACUUGGGGAAACUCAAGCUAAUACCGCAUACGCCCUACGGGGGAAAGCGGGGGACCUUCGGGCCUCGCACUAUUGGAUGAGCCUAUGUCUGAUUAGCUUGUUGGUGGGGUAACGGCCUACCAAGGCAACGAUCAGUAGCUGGUCUGAGAGGACGAUCAGCCACACUGGGACUGAGACACGGCCCAGACUCCUACGGGAGGCAGCAGUGGGGAAUAUUGCACAAUGGGCGAAAGCCUGAUGCAGCAAUGCCGCGUGUGUGAAGAAGGCCUGCGGGUUGUAAAGCACUUUCAGUAGGGAGGAAACAGUAACGGGUUAAUACCCCGAUACCUUGACGUUACCUACAGAAGAAGCACCGGCUAACUCUGUG
Molecule: ribosomal RNA, 503 nt
Filed under: uncultured bacterium
Lineage: Bacteria
Description: bacterial SSU rRNA
Rfam family: Bacterial small subunit ribosomal RNA
Source: RNAcentral